GGGCCCGCACAAGCGGUGGAGCAUGUGGUUUAAUUCGAUGAUACGCGAGGAACCUUACCAGGACUUAAAUGUAAGUUGCAUGAUUCAGAAAUGAAUCUUUCUUCGGACUACUUACAAGGUGCUGCAUGGUUGUCGUCAGCUCGUGCCGUGAGGUGUCAGGGUUAAGUCCUAUAACGAGCGCAACCCCUGCCGUUCUAGUUGCCAGCAUGUAAUGAUGGGAACUCUAACGGGACUGCCGGUGCAAACCGCGAGGAAGGUGGGGAUGACGUCAAAUCAUCACGGCCCUUACGUCCUGGCUACACACGUGCUACAAUGGCCGGUACAGAGGGCAGCCACACCGCAAGGUGGAG
This 350-nucleotide ribosomal RNA is filed under the name uncultured bacterium. Its description in RNAcentral is "bacterial SSU rRNA". It matches the Rfam family "Bacterial small subunit ribosomal RNA", at positions 917 to 1267 of the family's 1533-position model. The record is from RNAcentral.